CUGGCUCAGGACGAACGCUGGCGGCGUGCCUAACACAUGCAAGUCGAACGAGGUCGCCUUCGGGCAAUGACCAAGUGGCGAACGGGUGCGUAACACGUGAGGAACCUGCCCCGAGGACUGGGACAACCACGGGAAACUGUGGCUAAUACCAGAUGCCCUCCGCUGAUCGCAUGAUCGGCAGAGGAAAUGCUCCGGCGCCUUCGGGAGGGCCUCGCGGCCUAUCAGCUUGUUGGCGAGGUAACGGCUCACCAAGGCAUCGACGGGUAGCUGGUCUGAGAGGACGAUCAGCCACACUGGGACUGAGACACGGCCCAGACUCCUGCGGGAGGCAGCAGUGGGGAAUCUUGCGCAAUGGGCGAAAGCCUGACGCAGCAACGCCGCGUGGGGGAUGAAGGCUCUCGGGGUGUAAACCCCUUUCAGCAGGGACGAAAUUGACGGUACCUGAAGAAAGAAGCCCCGGCCAACUACGUGCCAGCAG
Molecule: ribosomal RNA, 478 nt
Filed under: uncultured bacterium
Lineage: Bacteria
Description: bacterial SSU rRNA
Rfam family: Bacterial small subunit ribosomal RNA
Source: RNAcentral